GACGAACGCUGGCGGCGUGCUUAACACAUGCAAGUCGAACGGAAAGGCCCUGCUUUUGUGGGGUGCUCGAGUGGCGAACGGGUGAGUAACAAGUGAGUAACCUGCCCUUGACUUUGGGAUAACUUCAGGAAACUGGGGCUAAUACCGGAUAGGAGCUCCUGCUGCAUGGUGGGGGUUGGAAAGUUUCGGCGGGUGGGGAUGGACUCGCGGCUUAUCAGCUUGUUGGUGGGGGAGUGGCUUACCAAGGCUUUGACGGGUAGCCGGCCUGGGAGGGUGACCGGCGACAAUGCGACUGAGGGAGGGCCCAGUGGGCUACGGGGGGCAGCAGUGGGGAAUAUUGUGCAGUGAUGCGAAGCGUAUUGCGGCGACGCUCCGUGUGGAAAGACGGCCCUGCGGUUAUAAACCGCGUACGGUUGUGACGUAGCCUGAGUGACGUUAAUGGGUGAAGAAGCACCGGCUAACUCCGUG
This 468-nucleotide ribosomal RNA is filed under the name uncultured bacterium. RNAcentral describes it as "partial 16S ribosomal RNA". It matches the Rfam family "Bacterial small subunit ribosomal RNA", at positions 28 to 507 of the family's 1533-position model. The record is from RNAcentral.